This 761-nucleotide ribosomal RNA is filed under the name Prevotella melaninogenica. RNAcentral describes it as "bacterial SSU rRNA". It matches the Rfam family "Bacterial small subunit ribosomal RNA", at positions 28 to 776 of the family's 1533-position model. Lineage: Bacteria; Pseudomonadati; Bacteroidota; Bacteroidia; Bacteroidales; Prevotellaceae. The record is from RNAcentral.
GAUGAACGCUAGCUACAGGCUUAACACAUGCAAGUCGAGGGGAAACGGCAUUGAGUGCUUGCACUCUUUGGACGUCGACCGGCGCACGGGUGAGUAACGCGUAUCCAACCUUCCCAUUACUGUGGGAUAACCUGCCGAAAGGCAGACUAAUACCGCAUAGUCUUCGAUGACAGCAUCAGAUUUGAAGUAAAGAUUUAUCGGUAAUGGAUGGGGAUGCGUCUGAUUAGCUUGUUGGCGGGGUAACGGCCCACCAAGGCGACGAUCAGUAGGGGUUCUGAGAGGAAGGUCCCCCACAUUGGAACUGAGACACGGUCCAAACUCCUACGGGAGGCAGCAGUGAGGAAUAUUGGUCAAUGGACGGAAGUCUGAACCAGCCAAGUAGCGUGCAGGAUGACGGCCCUAUGGGUUGUAAACUGCUUUUGUAUGGGGAUAAAGUUAGGGACGUGUCCCUAUUUGCAGGUACCAUACGAAUAAGGACCGGCUAAUUCCGUGCCAGCAGCCGCGGUAAUACGGAAGGUCCAGGCGUUAUCCGGAUUUAUUGGGUUUAAAGGGAGCGUAGGCUGGAGAUUAAGUGUGUUGUGAAAUGUAGACGCUCAACGUCUGAAUUGCAGCGCAUACUGGUUUCCUUGAGUACGCACAACGUUGGCGGAAUUCGUCGUGUAGCGGUGAAAUGCUUAGAUAUGACGAAGAACUCCGAUUGCGAAGGCAGCUGACGGGAGCGCAACUGACGCUUAAGCUCGAAGGUGCGGGUAUCAAACAGG